Nicotiana attenuata is the source of this 1898-nucleotide long non-coding RNA. RefSeq lists it as uncharacterized. Lineage: Eukaryota; Viridiplantae; Streptophyta; Magnoliopsida; Solanales; Solanaceae. The transcript has 2 exons. The record is from RefSeq and is a predicted model, not a curated record.
GAUGACUUUUGUUGUCGCAACUGAACCUAUCCUAUUCAGUCACCCCUAAUUGUGCUAUUUUGUACAAAAAACGAAAAAAUAAACCCUAAAGUAACAAAUCUCCUCCUCGUAAAAUCUCUAACUUGCUCCACCUUCUCAACCCCAAAUCAUCUUGAACUUGCUCCUCACUGAAGAGGGUCACACACUAUCGAUGGUGAACACACUCCUUUUUGUCUCAUUAUCCGUCAAAUCGAGCUCUGACUUCCUUCAUCAUUUUUUCCUCUCUAGAUUUUGUGCUCUCUGCUCUGUUGAGGUGAAAAAUCUAAUCCUAUUUCUGUAUUGUGAUGCUUUACGGACUAUGCUCAUAUUCAGGAGAAGCGAUUACAUCUGAUGUUGAUUGGUGCAUUUUUGCGGCAUGAGAUUUAGGGUCAGUGGUUGUAUUAGCUGAGUUUCUCAUGAUUUUUUGGGCUUGAUGUUGGCUAACUCAAUGUGGAGCUACAUAUAGGGAAAACCAAAGGAAAGUAAGCUCUAUUUGACUUUAUUCAUUUGGUGUGGGUAAUUUGUGAUUUGAUUUGUUGAUUUUGUAACUGCAUUUCCUCUGUUAUCGUGGAGAACCAGCUCUUUUGGUUCUUACUUGUUCGUUUAGUAAUUCCAUUGUGUCAUCCGAUGAUGGCAAUUAAAAUUUAAAGAAUGGUUCAAGUUGUAAAUAAAUGUUGAAGGCUAUUUGAAACUAGUGAAUUGACCUAUAUAUGUUGGUCAGUUAAAAUAUAGAAUGAUCUACAAAAAGUUUCCUGGGGAAAAAAGAUGAAAUAAGAAUAGACCUGGAAAGAAAGAAAGGAAAAGCUUGUUGGUAAUACACUAAUACACCUUGGUAUUAGUAGUGGUUGCUUGAAAUAUCUAGAAUAUACAACAAGUGUUCAAAUAAAAAGUAUUCUAAUUAAAACCACUUCACAGAACCUGUGAUAUAUUUUGUGCUAUUGGAUUAUCUAUAAGAUUUUAUCUUUUGUUGUUAUUUUAGUUCAGUUAUUUAUAUUACAGAUAGUGGACAAUUGUAGAGUAUAUUAAACUACCACACUGUUUGCUAUUGUGGUCAUAGACCAGUAAUAACUAAUAAGUAGUUGGUUCAGCUAAAUCUUGCUUCUGCAAUUUGUAUUCUUUUUUCCACAAUUCAGUGAUAUUGAAUAGACUUAAAGAUGUUUAAGUCGCAUGAGGUUGACCUUAUUGUGCACGGAAAAAGGGAUAGAAUUGAUAUUGCACUAUGAACACUUCAUCUCAUAGGAUAUAGUUUUUCUUGUAGGUCUUCUCAACACACUUUAUCUCUGGAAUUUGGUUUAUGAGUUUCUUGAAGUGCACAUCUUAUUCCAACCAAAGUAAUAUGAGAUUAAAGCAUGAAUGCAGUGAAAGGGGGUAACUUUAGUCUUCAUUUUGAUCGUGACUUUAAAAAAGCAUAUUAAUAGGAUUACAUCAUUCCAUUUUUAUGGUAUCAAAAUGUGUUGUCUAACAAAUCUUCCGAAAUUUCUUCUAUAGGUGGUAACGGAACUGUCCAAAGUGUGCGCAAACGAUAACGGCAUGCCGUCUUAUGGAACAUCACAAAGGAGCUGCACAUGCGGAUACGCCAACAUUAUUCCCUAGAGAUUUUGUUCAGGAUUUUUCUCGCACCUGCGACUGCAUUCUAGGAUACGAGAGAAAGUCAUGGUCUUCAGGAGGAAAUGAUUCUAGCCAAGGAGGAGCUCCAAGAUAUUUUAUUUUCAUGUUGUAACUUUUUUGCGUGUUUCAUGUGUGUACACAAAAAACAGGAGUUACGUCUUAUUCCCGAGGAGAUCUUUUAAGGAACUAAGAAUACCACAGAAGAAUGUGUCAUUCUGUUUGAAAAUUGUCUUCAAUGGUGUCUCUUAUAAUGUUAAUGGGUUGUCGUAAUA